Long non-coding RNA from Oncorhynchus tshawytscha (Chinook salmon), 322 nucleotides. Lineage: Eukaryota; Metazoa; Chordata; Actinopteri; Salmoniformes; Salmonidae. The record is from Ensembl.
CGCCGAGUCAAAACGAUGUGUGUCAAAGUGAACUUGAUACAGAGAAAGAGAGGGAGCCAACUUGAUGUGGAGGGAAAACCACCUGCCUCCAGAUAUUCUGGAGUGAACCAGAGGACACAGACAUCCAACCAAAAGUCCUGAAAACUGGAUCUGAAAACCUGAAGGCCUGACACAAGAACGGGUUAAACCCAGUAUCUGAAUACCUGAAAACAGGACUAUCUGACAGGACUGCCUCGGAAGCUCAGAGGACAGAGUUGUUGACUCUGGGAGCCAACAGAGCUCCAGGAUGGGUGGCUUCGUUGGCUCAGGAUGGAAAAGUUCC